GGCCAGGCUAGUCUUGACCUCCUCAAGUGAUCCGCCUGCCUCGGCCUCCCAAAGUAUUGUGAUUAAAGGUAGGAGCCACCAUGCCCAGCCCAGAGGCACUUUUCAAAAGACAGAUCUGGACCCCCCCACCCCGUCACCCUCUGCCUAAAACUCAGGCAGGAUGACCACAUGGCCGGCCUCACACUGCUGCUCCUACAGAACUGUGAAUGGCGCCCUGUUAUACUAGAAGAAAUGACCCAGCUCGGACAGUGCACCAUGUGGUCACUCACCUCUUAGGAAGAAAGCCAGCACCCUCACCUGUGCCCUCAGGCCUGGCCCCGAGCCCUGUUGCCUCCCGUCCCAGCUGCAGGGGCCUCUUUCAGGUCCUCGGGUGUGUCAGCUCCCUCUGCUCCCUUGGCCUGGGGCCUCUUUUCUCUUCUUUCCUGUCUGUAGUUCCUAUGCAUCCCAUCUCCAUGCAGGUUCGUAUCCUUGGGGGAUGUGACCUGACCCUCUGCAGAGCCACGUUCCCCUCCUGGUAGCACCUCCGAAUCACAAAGUAUUCACUGAAUGCGUGCACGGACGAUGGCGGAGCAGAGCUGGGUGCUGGCUUCUGGCAGCCCGGGCCUGAUACUCAGCAGAUGUUCCUUUUCUUUUCCACCCUGCCUCAUAGCUGCCAUGUCCUUUCCCUCCUGCCCCCUGACACCAGUAGUGUGCCCUGACCCAGCUGCCCUGACGUGGCAUUCCCGGGGCAUAGCUCGGGAGCAGAGCAGACAAGAGCUCGCGCUUUCAUCACUCCGGAGGUCAGAGUGUCGGUGCCAAGGUUCUGCUGGGUGUGAGGCAAAACGCCCCUCAAAGCAGCUUCCAUGAAAUGGGAGUUCAGCAGGAGAGCCCUGGGGUGUCCCUGGAGGGCUGUGAGCAGCAGGGAACCCCGGGCCCCUACUCUGCAGCACCUUCUUUGCACCCUGCUCUGUGGUGUCCUGUGUGGGUCUGGCACGCCUCUCCCCAAAUCCAAGUUUAUGUCUCCAUUCAGGCGCUCCCCUCCUAGAUGGAGACAGUGUCUCAUUCCAGCUCCACGUUCCUGGUGGGGAGACCAGGGCCCCGGGUCAGUGGUCCCGGUCGAUGAGUGGACAUCGCUGCCGGCUCCCAUGUUCAGCAGAAGCGACUUCAGCGUGUGGACCAUCCUGAAGAAGUGUGUUGGCCUGGAGCUGUCCAAGAUCACGAUGCCAAUCGCCUUCAACGAGCCUCUGAGCUUCUUGCAGCGGAUCACGGAGUACAUGGAGCACGUGUACCUCAUCCACAGGGCCUCCUGCCAGCCCCAGCCCCUGGAGAGGAUGCAGUCUGUGGCUGCUUUUGCUGUUUCGGCUGUGGCUUCCCAGUGGGAGAGGACCGGCAAACCAUUUAAUCCACUCUUGGGAGAAACGUAUGAAUUAAUCAGGGAAGAUUUAGGAUUCAGAUUUAUAUCGGAACAGGUCAGUCACCACCCCCCCAUCAGUGCGUUCCACUCGGAAGGUCUCAACCAUGACUUCCUGUUCCACGGCUCCAUCUACCCCAAGCUCAAGUUCUGGGGCAAAAGCGUGGAGGCGGAGCCCCGAGGCACCAUCACCCUGGAGCUGCUCAAACAUAAUGAAGCCUACACCUGGACCAACCCCACCUGCUGCGUCCACAACGUCAUCAUCGGGAAGCUGUGGAUAGAGCAGUAUGGGACAGUGGAGAUUUUAAACCACAGAACCGGACAUAAGUGUGUGCUUCACUUUAAACCGUGUGGAUUAUUUGGAAAAGAACUUCACAAGGUGGAAGGACACAUUCAAGACAAAAACAAAAAGAAGCUCUUUAUGAUCUAUGGCAAAUGGACGGAAUGUUUGUGGGGCAUAGAUCCUGUUUCGUAUGAAUCCUUCAAGAAGCAGGAGAGGAGAGGUGACCACCUGAGAAAGGCCAAGCUGGGUGUAGAGAGCCUGAAACCCCCACACAGGAGCCACUUCUUGAUGGGGGCAAAGCUGCGCUAUCUAGAAAGCUCUCAGUCCCAGAACCUGCCUUCUGGAGAGGCGCCGUGUGUGUGAAUGAACCUGCUGUUUGGAAGGCACCGCUGUGUCGUCGCACUCAGACUCCAUGAAGCGCUGUUUCGCGUGCACCGCUUCUCCCGAAGGGAAACACGCCUGGCCACUGACUUCCUUCAUCUCCAUGAAGGGAAACGCCUGGCCACUGACUUCCUUCGUCUCUGCGAAGGGAGACGCCUGGCCACUGACCUCUUGUCGUCACCCGAAGGGAAACACGCCUGGCCGCUGACCUCUGUCGUCUCCGCUCUGGGUGUCCGUUAGAACAGACAGCACAGCCCCACGAAGGGAGUGUGAGCUGCUUUAGGGACUGGGGCCCAGCUCCUCUCCGUACAGUGAUGGACAGACAGUGUCAUAGACUGGAGAGGAAAUUCGAUUUUCUCCUUAGUUUAAGAAAAAAAAGGCCGGGUGUGGUGGCUUACACCUGUAAUCUCAGCACUUUGGGAGGCCGAGGUGGGUGGAUUGCCUGAGGUCAGGAUUUCAAGACCAGCCUGGCUAACAUAGUGAAACCCCGUCUCUACUAAAAGUACAAACAAUUAGCCGGGCAUGGUAUUGGGCGCCUGUAAUUCCAGCUACUCGGGAGGCUGAGGCAGGAGAAUCUCUUGAACUCAGGAGGCAGAGGUUGCGGUGACCCGAGAUCGCACCACUGCACUCCAGCCUGGGCCACAGAGCGAGACUCCGUCUGAAAAAAAAAAAAAGGAGAAGGCUGCCUGGCUCUGCUCAGGUGACUGGUCUGAAAGGCGCUCUGAGAAUAGCUGUCCUCCUGGCCAAGAGCGGCCUGGCCCCGGGCAGCCACACAGCAGGGUUCUGUGUUUCAGGAUGAAGACUCCGGGAAGGCUGACAGCGACGUGGCUGACGACGUGCCUGUGGCCCAGGAGACUGUGCAGGUCAUUCCCGGCAGCAAGCUGCUGUGGAGGAUCAACACCCGGCCCCCCAACUCUGCCCAGAUGUAUAAUUUCACCAGUUUCACUGUGAGCCUCAACGAGCUGGAGACAGGCAUGGAGAAGACCCUGCCACCCACGGACUGCCGCCUGCGCCCUGACAUCCGCGGCAUGGAGAAUGGCAACAUGGAUCUGGCCAGCCAGGAGAAGGAGCGGCUGGAGGAGAAGCAGAGAGAAGCACGGAGGGAGCGGGCCAAGGAGGAGGCGGAGUGGCAGACGAGGUGGUUCUACCCAGGCAAUAACCCCUACACUGGGACCCCCGACUGGUUGUAUGCAGGGGAUUACUUUGAGCGGAAUUUCUCCGACUGCCCAGAUAUCUACUGAGGGCCUGGAGGGGCCUGGGGCCCGGGACCGGAGGCUGACGAGGCUGGACUUCCUCGAGUGGCCACUCUGAGCCUCAUCACGGCAGAAACCAACUUUUCUAACGACUGAGUUCGCGGAGAUAGCAUCAUCCCUGAUCAAGGAUGUAAUUCUAAUUAACUGUUGAUUGCCAAACAUUUCACUCUGCUGUGCCGUCUCUUCAUAAAGCUUCACUUGGGAUCAUCGUCUUCAUUAAGGUUUCAACAAGGAAAUUCUUCACGGCGCCCUUUUAUGUGGCAGAAAUCAGCUGGGGCUUGUUUAGCUUCCAGCACACUCUCAGUCAUAGCAUGUGUAGCUAAAGGAAGUAAUGGGAAGGGGUUCAUGUUCUCUUUAUAAUGCAGUGGCAAAAGGUUCUGAAAGUCUUUUAAACUCGAACCAGUGGGGGAAAGAUGGAUCUUGAAACUAAUCCUGCAGAGAGUUUUAUAAAGGCCAGGGAUUGCCUUCUAAAUUAUGAUAAAACAGAAGUGAAGAGUUUCAGAGCAUCAGAUUGAGUGAAAAGUUGUCAGAUUCUGUAUUUUUUAACAAUCUUCAAUAAUGUAAAGAUUACUUUUAAAAUAUUUAAGUUAAAACUACUUGAAUAGUAUUUUGCUGAAGAGCAAGAUAUGCAUUAAUCACCGGUUUUAUACUGUCCAAAAUGAAGCAUCCCCGUGACAAACCAGAGUGGGCAGAAGCAUCGAGCGCGUGACAGGAAAUCCCAAGACUGCUUCCGCCUCAGAGGCGUCCCGGCUGCGACUCGCUGCCCUGUUGUCAGUGAGGCCUGGCUGUCACCGCACACCGUGUCCGUGUCUCCAGGGGGUUCAUUUCUUCUCACACGUCGCGUGUACCCAUAGCACUCUUGUGUUUCUGUUUUUCCCAGUAUGCAUGUUUAAAAUAGAAGUGACAAGAAUCACAUCCGGUUGUGUGCUGUGGGAGGGUCAGAGGCAGAAUCUACUUACAGUGGUGUAAUUAAAGUUAUUGAACCAAAAAUAGGUAUGUGUCCAUCUCAGCAUUCACCUUUAUCAAGUGACUGAUUUUUUUUUCUUUUCUUUCCUUUUUUUUUUUUUUUUUGAGAUGGAGUUUCACUCUUGUUGCCCAGGCUGGAGUGCAAUGGCAUGAUCUCGGCUCACCGCAACCUCCGCCUCCCGGGUUCAAGCGAUUCUCCUGCCUCAGCCUCCCGAGUAGCUGGGAUUACAGGCACGCGCCACCACGCCUGGCUGAUUUUGUAUUUUUAGUAGACACGGGGUUUCACCAUGUUGGUCAGGCUGGUCUCAAACUCCCGACCUCAAGUAGUCUGCCUGCCUCAACCUCCCAAAGUGCUGGGAUUACAGGCGUGAGCCACUGCGCCUGGCCGUGACUGAUUUUUUUUCAUGUAGAAUUGUCAACACGAGAGAUCACAGUGGAGCACUUUGAAAGACCGUCGGUUGUGUGCACGCACGCACGCACUCAUGCACACGCUGACACGCGGUUGCAUGGAGUCCAGGUUACUCAGGCCGGCACUUUUGAGUGACAGGUGCCACCUGCGUGUGUCUUGGCGUCCACAUCACACCUGCGACGGAAGCACUUCUGGAAGUGAACACUCGUUUUGAAAGCUUGAUUUUGUAGCUUUGGAAGCUGGAAGCGAUGGUGUUUGGUGCCGAGUCCUGUGUCAUCCUCGGGGCCUAUGAGCUCCGUACCAGCCACUCAAAAGUGUCUGAACAGAACCGCUCCGUGACUGGUAGCUGGGUCUGAGGAUUCAGGAUUGUGGCGUUAUUCAAAGAGGAGACUUUGCAAUUCCCCGAUGGCUGGAAUGUGGAGCCCAGGUGCCUCUGGUGGAGGGUCAUCUGCUUUUCCAGACUGUGGUUGUGAACCGGCUCCUUCUCCAAGAAAGACUGCAAGCUGAGAACAUCCAGAGGUGAGACUCAGACACAUUGAAAGUGACUGCAUUUAGGGAGGUUUAACAAGUUCUUACUGAUCAUUCCACUUGUUACUGGUUAAGAUAAUUUGCCCACGGGUUUGUUUCCAAGUCCUCUUCUAGGACCAGGCUCCUGGUAUUUCAGGGGCUGGUUGGCUGCACAGACAGCCCCUCUUCUGCUGUCCUUGAGGACAGACACCAAACCAGAGGUGGAGGAAGAACAGUAGGAAGGCUGAUGGUGAAAGCGGCUGUGUGUCGAGGUGACUUUAACUUUUUACUACUUUUUGUUACUGUUUCUGCAAAUGCUAACACAUAAACUAUGACCUAACUUUUGUCACCUUGGAUAUCUAUUGAAUGUUAAACAUCUCUAAUAAAGAUGGCCACCACUUAA
This is an RNA transcript of Pan troglodytes (chimpanzee), 5592 nucleotides long. It is a transcript of the gene named oxysterol binding protein like 2, with no coding region annotated. The transcript is spliced from 12 exons. NCBI's taxonomy places the organism in Eukaryota, Metazoa, Chordata, Mammalia, Primates, Hominidae. The record is from RefSeq and is a predicted model, not a curated record.